This is a long non-coding RNA of Cotesia glomerata, 701 nucleotides long. RefSeq lists it as uncharacterized. NCBI's taxonomy places the organism in Eukaryota, Metazoa, Arthropoda, Insecta, Hymenoptera, Braconidae. The transcript is spliced from 3 exons. The record is from RefSeq and is a predicted model, not a curated record.
ACAAAUAUUGAAAAGGAAGUGUAGCUAAAUAUAUGAGUUAUACUUUUUAAAAAAAUAGAGAGGUAAUUCAAGAAAUGAUAAAAUAUACAACAUACACGAAGAGGUUAUGUUUAUGUUUUGUCUACAUUCCAUAUAGAAAAUAAGCUAGUUAUAAAAAUAUUUAAUUCAUUUUCAAUAAUUAAUUGAUAUACUUGAUUGACAUUUUAAAAGGACCUAUAGAGGUAAGGGUACUCAUACAAUGUGAGGCAUGUGAUGUGAGGUGUGCUUUGGUCUCGAAAUAUUGGAAUGAAGAUUUUAAAUACUAACAUGCAUAUUUAAUCCAAUAUCAAUUAUAUUACCAUAAAUCUUAUAUAAUUAAAAAAUAGAAAAAUAUGUGAUGAUUUGAAGCCAACUAAUACAUUAAUAUAGGAAAAUUCCACAAAGAAUAAUGAGAAUGAAUUUAGGAUCUACUUUUCAACUACAUCUGAACCAUGUGUAAUAUGAGUGUAAUGGUAAUGUCAAAAUGUAAUCAUACUAUUUAUCUUAGAGCCACAAAAAAAAUUGGAAAAUUUUUUAUUGAAUUCAAUUUAACAGUUAAUAUUUAUAAGAUGAAAUAGUGGAUUUUAAUUUAAUAAAAGUAUAAUAGUUUUCUUUUGUCAGGUGAGUAAUUGAUGCCUACAAGUUUUAGAAACAUGUACAAACAUUAGUAUAUAUCGUUCAGA